Molecule: ribosomal RNA, 429 nt
Filed under: Bacteroidota bacterium
Lineage: Bacteria; Pseudomonadati; Bacteroidota
Description: Bacteroidetes bacterium partial 16S ribosomal RNA
Rfam family: Bacterial small subunit ribosomal RNA
Source: RNAcentral
UAGGGAAUCUUCGGCAAUGGGGGGAACCCUGACCGAGCAACGCCGCGUGAGUGAAGAAGGUUUUCGGAUCGUAAAGCUCUGUUGUUAAGGAAGAACGAGCGUGAGAAUGGAAAGUUCAUACUGUGACGGUACUUAACCAGAAAGGGACGGCUAACUACGUGCCAGCAGCCGCGGUAAUACGUAGGUCCCGAGCGUUGUCCGGCUUUAUUGGGCGUAAAGCGAGCGCAGGCGGUUAGCUAAGUCUGAAGUUAAAGGCAGGGGCUCAACCAAUGUAGGGUUUGGAAACUGUGUAACUUGGGUGCAGGAGGGGGGGGUGGAAUUCCAUGUGUAGCGUUGAAAUGCGUAGAUAUAUGGAGGAACACCGGUGGCGAAAGCGGCUCUCUGGGCUGGAACUGACGCUGAGGCUCGAAAGCGUGGGGAGCGAACAGG